RNAcentral lists this transfer RNA (72 nucleotides) under Cystobasidium sp. RNAcentral's name for it is "tRNA-Gly". It matches the Rfam family "tRNA". From Rfam's summary of the family: Transfer RNA (tRNA) molecules are approximately 80 nucleotides in length. Their secondary structure includes four short double-helical elements and three loops (D, anti-codon, and T loops). The record is from RNAcentral. Lineage: Eukaryota; Fungi; Basidiomycota; Cystobasidiomycetes; Cystobasidiales; Cystobasidiaceae.
ACGGAUAUAGUAUAGCGGUUAGUACAGCUACCUUCCAAGUAGUUAGCAAGAGUUCGAUUCUCUUUAUCCGUA